CCUACGGGAGGCAGCAGUAGGGAAUAUUGCUCAAUGGGGGAAACCCUGAAGCAGCAACGCCGCGUGGAGGAUGAAGGUUUUCGGAUUGUAAACUCCUUUUGGUAGAGAAGAAAAUGACGGUAUCUAACGAAUAAGCACCGGCUAACUCCGUGCCAGCAGCCGCGGUAAUACGGAGGGUGCAAGCGUUACGCGGAAUCACUGGGCGUAAAGAGCGCGUAGGCGGUGUGGCAAGUCAGAUGUGAAAUCCUAUGGCUUAACCAUAGAACUGCAUUUGAAACUGUUAAUCUAGAGUAUGGGAGGGGUAGGUGGAAUUCUUGGUGUAGGGGUGAAAUCCGUAGAGAUCAAGAGGAAUACUCAUUGCGAAGGCGACCUGCUGGAACAUAACUGACGCUGAUGCGCGAAAGCGUGGGGAGCAAACAGGAUUAGAUACCCCUGUAGUC
Molecule: ribosomal RNA, 440 nt
Filed under: uncultured bacterium
Lineage: Bacteria
Description: partial 16S ribosomal RNA
Rfam family: Bacterial small subunit ribosomal RNA
Source: RNAcentral